This 484-nucleotide ribosomal RNA is filed under the name uncultured bacterium. Its description in RNAcentral is "partial 16S ribosomal RNA". It matches the Rfam family "Bacterial small subunit ribosomal RNA", at positions 30 to 507 of the family's 1533-position model. The record is from RNAcentral.
AUUGAACGCUGGCGGCAGGCCUAACACAUGCAAGUCGAGCGGAUGAAGGGAGCUUGCUCCUGGAUUCAGCGGCGGACGGGUGAGUAAUGCCUAGGAAUCUGCCUGGUAGUGGGGGAUAACGUCCGGAAACGGGCGCUAAUACCGCAUACGUCCUGAGGGAGAAAGUGGGGGAUCUUCGGACCUCACGCUAUCAGAUGAGCCUAGGUCGGAUUAGCUAGUUGGUGUGGUAAAGGCCUACCAAGGCGACGGACCGUAACUGGUCUGAGGGGAUGAUCAGUCACACUGGAAAUGAGGAACGGUCCAGACUCCUAAGGGGGGCAGCAGUGGGGAAUAUUGGACAAUGGGCGAAAGGCUGAUCCAGCCAAGCCGCGUGUGUGAAGAAGGUCUUCGGAUUGUAAAGCACUUUAAGUUGGGAGGAAGGGCAGUAAGUUAAUACCUUGCUGUUUUGACGUUACCAACAGAAUAAGCACCGGCUAACUUCGUG